GCCUGCAGUGGGUACGGGCAGACUAGAGUGCGGUAGGGGAGAUUGGAAUUCCUGGUGUAGCGGUGGAAUGCGCAGAUAUCAGGAGGAACACCGAUGGCGAAGGCAGAUCUCUGGGCCGUAACUGACGCUGAGGAGCGAAAGCAUGGGGAGCGAACAGGAUUAGAUACCCUGGUAGUCCAUGCCGUAAACGUUGGGAACUAGAUGUGGGGGCCAUUCCACGGUCUCCGUGUCGCAGCUAACGCAUUAAGUUCCCCGCCUGGGGAGUACGGCCGCAAGGCUAAAACUCAAAGGAAUUGACGGGGGCCCGCACAAGCGGCGGAGCAUGCGGAUUAAUUCGAUGCAACGCGAAGAACCUUACCAAGGCUUGACAUAUACCGGAAACGUCCAGAGAUGGUCGCCCCGCAAGGUCGGUAUACAGGUGGUGCAUGGUUGUCGUCAGCUCGUGUCGUGAGAUGUUGGGUUAAGUCCCGCAACGAGCGCAACCCUCGUUCUAUGUUGCCAGCACGUUAUGGUGGGAACUCAUAGGAGACUGCCGGGGUCAACUCGGAGGAAGGUGGGGAUGACGUCAAAUCAUCAUGCCCCUUAUGUCUUGGGCUUCACGCAUGCUACAAUGGCCGGUACAAAGGGCUGCGAUACCGUAAGGUGGAGCGAAUCCCAAAAAGCCGGUCUCAGUUCGGAUUGAGGUCUGCAACUCGACCUCAUGAAGUCGGAGUCGCUAGUAAUCGCAGAUCAGCAACGCUGCGGUGAAUACGUUCCCGGGCCUUGUACACACCGCCCGUCAAGUCAUGAAAGUCGGUAACACCCGAAGCCAGUGGCCUAACCCUUGC
This 827-nucleotide ribosomal RNA is filed under the name Frigoribacterium sp. S09. RNAcentral's name for it is "bacterial SSU rRNA". It matches the Rfam family "Bacterial small subunit ribosomal RNA", at positions 619 to 1444 of the family's 1533-position model. The record is from RNAcentral. Lineage: Bacteria; Bacillati; Actinomycetota; Actinomycetes; Micrococcales; Microbacteriaceae.